AUGUCUUUUUGAUAUUAAUAUAAAGUNUGGCCUNCCCUAUGAAAUUUUNNANGGCCNCGGUAUUUUNACCGUGCAAAGGUAGCAUAAUCAUUAGUUUUUUAAUUGAAAGCUGGAAUGAAAGGUUGGAUGAAAAAAUUUCUGUCUCUAUUUAAAUUUAUUUGAAAUUUAUUUUUAAGUAAAAAAGCUUAAAUAUUAAUUGAAGACGAGAAGACCCUAUAGAGUUUUAUUGAUAUUAAUUAUAAAAAUUUUAGUAUUAAUUAUUUUUUUUUAUUAAUAUUAUUUUAGUUGGGGAGACUGAAAAAUUAAAUAAACUUUUUUUUUAUAAAAUACCAUUUAUUUAUGAGUAAAUGAUCCUUUAUUUAAGAUUAAAAGAUAAAAUUACCUUAGGGAUAACAGCGUAAUUUUUUUUGAGAGUUCUUAUCGAAAGAAAAGAUUGCGACCUCGAUGUUGGAUUAAAAUNAANUUANGGNGUAGAAGCUAUAAUAUUUAGGUCUGUUCGACCUUUAAAAUUUUACUUGAUC
RNAcentral lists this ribosomal RNA (521 nucleotides) under Pororhynchus aff. albolateralis AM-2018. RNAcentral describes it as "partial 16S ribosomal RNA". The stretch from base 389 to 521 matches the Rfam family "Bacterial large subunit ribosomal RNA", at positions 2473 to 2605 of the family's 2925-position model. The record is from RNAcentral. Lineage: Eukaryota; Metazoa; Arthropoda; Insecta; Coleoptera; Curculionidae.